RNAcentral lists this unclassified non-coding RNA (220 nucleotides) under plant metagenome. RNAcentral describes it as "partial contains small subunit ribosomal RNA, internal transcribed spacer 1, and 5.8S ribosomal RNA". The record is from RNAcentral.
UUUCCGUAGGUGAACCUGCGGAAGGAUCAUUACAGAGUUCAUGCCCUCACGGGUAGAUCUCCCAUCCUUGAAUAUUUAUACCUUAGUUGCUUUGGCAGGCCGUGGAAACACCAUGGGCUCCGGCUUAUGCGUGCCUGCCAGAGGAAACAAACUCUGCUUUUAGUGAUGUCUGAGUACUAUAUAAUAGUUAAAACUUUCAACAACGGAUCUCUUGGUUCUG